RNAcentral lists this ribosomal RNA (514 nucleotides) under Zenonia zeno. RNAcentral describes it as "partial 16S ribosomal RNA". The stretch from base 388 to 514 matches the Rfam family "Bacterial large subunit ribosomal RNA", at positions 2473 to 2600 of the family's 2925-position model. The record is from RNAcentral. Lineage: Eukaryota; Metazoa; Arthropoda; Insecta; Lepidoptera; Hesperiidae.
GUCUUUUUGAAUAGAAUUUAAAGUCGAAUCUGCCCACUGAUUAAUAAUUAAAGGGCUGCAGUAUAUUGACUGUACAAAGGUAGCAUAAUAAUUAGUCUUUUAAUUGAAGACUUGUAUGAAGGAUUUGAUGAGAUAUAAACUGUCUCUUUUUUAUAAUUAGAAUUUAAUUUUUUAGUAAAAAAGCUAAAAUUAAUUUAAAAGACGAGAAGACCCUAUAGAGUUUUAUAAUUAAUUUAAUUAUAGAUUUAUAUUUAAUUUUAAAGUUAAUUAAUUUAAUUAUUUUAUUGGGGUGAUAGAAAAAUUAAAUUAACUUUUUUUAAAAAAUUAAACAUUAAUUAAUGAAUAUUUGAUCCAUAAUUUAUGAUUAUAAGAAAAAAUUACCUUAGGGAUAACAGCGUAAUUUUUUUUUUUAGUUCUUAUAAGAAAAAAAGUUUGCGACCUCGAUGUUGGAUUAAGAUAAAAUUUAAAUGCAGAAGUUUAAAAUUUUGAUCUGUUCGAUCAUUAAAAUCUUACA